This 75-nucleotide transfer RNA is filed under the name Ackermannviridae sp. RNAcentral describes it as "tRNA-Gly". It matches the Rfam family "tRNA". From Rfam's summary of the family: Transfer RNA (tRNA) molecules are approximately 80 nucleotides in length. Lineage: Duplodnaviria; Heunggongvirae; Uroviricota; Caudoviricetes; Pantevenvirales; Ackermannviridae. The record is from RNAcentral.
GCAGAUGUAGCUCAAUGGUUAGAGUGCUUCCUUGCCAUGGAAGAAGUUGUGAGUUCGAUCCUCAUCAUCUGCUCA